UUGUUUUCGCUGUCAAGCAAGUGAUAUCUUUUUCAGUUUUCGGUCAUUAUUGAGUGCGUGGAUAAAAUGGAUUUGAUCAGGAAUUUGAUUGAAUCAUCUGAUUCAGAAGGAGACGAGGAAAUGUUCCAUGCAUUUUUUCAAAUAAACGGUACCGCAAGAAAUGAAAAAUUGCGCGCUGAAAAUUUUAUGACUACGAUUGAUCGAUACAAUGAUGAAGAGGUAUGUUUUAUUGGUAUGCUUUUCAGCUUACAUCACAUAAGCUUUGUUUUUUUUAGUUUCGCAACAAUUUCCGAUUAACGAGGAGUACAGCAGAACUUCUUAUUUGUAAAUUUGAAAAUUCUGUAUUGUACAAAGAAGCAGAAGAACGGGGCAGAAGUAGUCUAUGUGCAAAAAAACAAAUGCUAUCUUUUUUAUGGUUCUGUGCAAAUAAAAACUCCUAUAGAGAGAUUUGUAAUUUGUUCGACACGUCGGAGUCAACCUUUUUUCGACACACGGAAUCUAUCCUGGAUUUCUUCCAUGAAAUAUCUAAGGAAUACAUAAAAAUGCCCAUGACUGAUGCAGAAAUUGCGAACGUCGCGAACGAAUUCGAAAAGCUCGCCGGAUUUAAAAACGUUAUCGGUUGCAUCGAUGGAAGCUAUAUUAAUGUUCGAAAACCAGCAAACAAAAUUCGCUCCAUAUAUAUCAAUAGGCAUGAAUUGGUAUCUCUAACACUGCAGGGUAUAUGUGAUGCCGAUAAAAGGUUCCUUGUCGUCUUUUUGGGCCCAGCUAGCAAAAUUCAUGAUUCGAGAAUUUUUAGCAUGUCCCCGAUAAGCCAAAACUUGCCAACGAUAUGCCAACAAAGUUAUCAUAUCCUAGGAGACGCAGCUUAUCCUAUUCGUUAGCAUCUAUUAACUCCUUUUAGGGAUUAUGGUAACCUGUCAAAUAAGCAAAAAAAUUAUAACAAACGUCAUUGUCAAACACGAGUUAAAAUAGAAAAUUGUUUUCAAUUAUUGAAACAACGUUUAAGACAACUUAUGCGUCUAGAUUUUUUUACUUUUAAAAAAUUGUGUAAAUUUAUAAUGGCAUGUUGUGUUCUACAUAACAUAUGCAUCGAUCAAAACGACUUAUUUUUAACAACCAACGAAGAAAACAA
Aedes aegypti (yellow fever mosquito) is the source of this 1132-nucleotide long non-coding RNA. RefSeq lists it as uncharacterized. The record is from RefSeq and is a predicted model, not a curated record. The transcript has 3 exons. NCBI's taxonomy places the organism in Eukaryota, Metazoa, Arthropoda, Insecta, Diptera, Culicidae.